RNAcentral lists this transfer RNA (76 nucleotides) under Planctomycetota bacterium. Its description in RNAcentral is "Planctomycetes bacterium (groundwater metagenome) tRNA-Val". It matches the Rfam family "tRNA". Rfam says of the family: Transfer RNA (tRNA) molecules are approximately 80 nucleotides in length. Their secondary structure includes four short double-helical elements and three loops (D, anti-codon, and T loops). Lineage: Bacteria; Pseudomonadati; Planctomycetota. The record is from RNAcentral.
AGCCCCUUAGCUCAGCAGGGAGAGCGCCUGUCUUACAAACAGGAGGCCGCUGGUUCGAGACCAGCAGGGGCUACCA